This is a long non-coding RNA of Folsomia candida, 514 nucleotides long. RefSeq lists it as uncharacterized. The record is from RefSeq and is a predicted model, not a curated record. The transcript is spliced from 3 exons. Lineage: Eukaryota; Metazoa; Arthropoda; Collembola; Entomobryomorpha; Isotomidae.
UUAAAUUGAAAUAAUGAGCAAUUAUCUGCAGGAUCGAUGGGUAUAAAGAGCAACAUCAUUUCAAUGAAUGAUAUUCAAAACAUAUAUACACAUAUCCAGAACUUCUAGCACUUCUUAACCAGCGAAAACUUUAGAAAGAUGUCUCCCUUGAAAAUGAUUGUCGCUCUCUUCGCGUUUUUCGCCGUUGUUGGGGUCGCUGUUUCCGAUGAGGGUCGUCCCGCUUCGUCCGCGUCGGCCUUUGGGGACAAUGUCGUCUUGUGGCAAUGUCAACACCCGUGCCAAAAUCUUCACUGUGAUGACCGGUACAGCCGAUGCGAGUUCAGAAAUGGACAGUGCUGGUGCUUCAACUAAGUUUUCGAUACAAUUUUGACGUAUGAGCGCUCAUCCUGGAAUAAUUAGUGUCUAAAUACAUAUGCAUUAACGGAAUUAUGAUUGGAAAUAUUAAUCUUUAAACUUAAAAGCAGAUUACAUACUUAUUAAAUUCUAGCUUUGACCGUCACAAGUUUGCAGAUUA